CAGGAAAUCGCGGCCAUGUCAGCGCGCUUUGCUGACGUGGCAGCAAAUCGCGUCCUAGAGGGCGCGAUUUGUUGCUAUAUCAGCAACUCGCGCUGACGUGGACACGAUUUCCUU
RNAcentral lists this microRNA precursor (114 nucleotides) under Gossypium raimondii (Peruvian cotton). Its description in RNAcentral is "miR7486h stem-loop (gra-MIR7486h)". The stretch from base 15 to 101 matches the Rfam family "MIR7486 microRNA precursor family". Lineage: Eukaryota; Viridiplantae; Streptophyta; Magnoliopsida; Malvales; Malvaceae. The record is from miRBase by way of RNAcentral.